This 545-nucleotide long non-coding RNA is filed under the name Bos taurus (domestic cattle). RNAcentral describes it as "long non-coding RNA NONBTAT023536". The record is from RNAcentral. Lineage: Eukaryota; Metazoa; Chordata; Mammalia; Artiodactyla; Bovidae.
CUAAUAGGUCAGGAAUAAUUUUUUGAUUAUUGUUCAUUUGUUUUGGAGCUUUCUUUGAGGUUCAGAGAAUAAUUUUAGGAGAUGAUCUGGAUCUUUCCUUUAACUGUAGUUUUUGAGUCCAUAGCCAAAGCCUGUUAUUUGUACAGUGACGACAGUUUAGUACACAGGAAAAAUAAGGGUUAUAUUCAUUGCAUGAUUGGUGUUUGUAUUUAAAAUAGUGUGUAUUUUAGUAAGAACAAGAUUGUGAUUCAACAUUGGUUUCAGUUUAGCGGAAAAAAUUGAGAUUGUGGUGUUUUGCUUUCUAGUGUUCUGUCCUAAGUUUAUGUGAAAAACAAAAGGCAAGCAGUGAAAUCUAGUGGAAAAGGAGGAAAACACAAACCUUCAUUUGUGUUAUGUGGUAUUAUAAAUAUUCCUGUGUUUAGAUUAAUAGAUCUUUACAGUGGAAUACUAUUUCAGAGCCAUAAAGAAUGUGUUAUAUCUGUGAGUGUUGGUCUGGAAAGAUAGUCUGUGAUAUGUAGAUAUAGGGGUGGAGGUGUGUCUGUGGG